Molecule: ribosomal RNA, 463 nt
Filed under: Salmonella enterica subsp. enterica serovar Infantis
Lineage: Bacteria; Pseudomonadati; Pseudomonadota; Gammaproteobacteria; Enterobacterales; Enterobacteriaceae
Also listed under: 1 other name
Description: partial 16S ribosomal RNA
Rfam family: Bacterial small subunit ribosomal RNA
Source: RNAcentral
UCGUCAGCUCGUGUUGUGAAAUGUUGGGUUAAGUCCCGCAACGAGCGCAACCCUUAUCCUUUGUUGCCAGCGGUCCGGCCGGGAACUCAAAGGAGACUGCCAGUGAUAAACUGGAGGAAGGUGGGGAUGACGUCAAGUCAUCAUGGCCCUUACGACCAGGGCUACACACGUGCUACAAUGGCGCAUACAAAGAGAAGCGACCUCGCGAGAGCAAGCGGACCUCAUAAAGUGCGUCGUAGUCCGGAUUGGAGUCUGCAACUCGACUCCAUGAAGUCGGAAUCGCUAGUAAUCGUGGAUCAGAAUGCCACGGUGAAUACGUUCCCGGGCCUUGUACACACCGCCCGUCACACCAUGGGAGUGGGUUGCAAAAGAAGUAGGUAGCUUAACCUUCGGGAGGGCGCUUACCACUUUGUGAUUCAUGACUGGGGUGAAGUCGUAACAAGGUAACCGUAGGGGAACCUGC